AUUGAACGCUGGCGGCAGGCCUAACACAUGCAAGUCGAACGGUAACAGAAAGCAGCUUGCUGCUUUGCUGACGAGUGGCGGACGGGUGAGUAAUGUCUGGGAAACUGACUGAUGGAGGGGGAUAACUACUGGAAACGGUAGCUAAUACCGCAUAACGUCGCAAGACCAAAGAGGGGGACCUUCGGGCCUCUUGCCAUCGGAUGUGCCCAGAUGGGAUUAGCUAGUAGGUGGGGUAACGGCUCACCUAGGCGACGAUCCCUAGCUGGUCUGAGAGGAUGACCAGCCACACUGGAACUGAGACACGGUCCAGACUCCUACGGGAGGCAGCAGUGGGGAAUAUUGCACAAUGGGCGCAAGCCUGAUGCAGCCAUGCCGCGUGUAUGAAGAAGGCCUUCGGGUUGUAAAGUACUUUCAGCGGGGAGGAAGGGAGUAAAGUUAAUACCUUUGCUCAUUGACGUUACCCGCAGAAGAAGCACCGGCUAACUCCGUG
RNAcentral lists this ribosomal RNA (490 nucleotides) under uncultured bacterium. RNAcentral describes it as "partial 16S ribosomal RNA". It matches the Rfam family "Bacterial small subunit ribosomal RNA", at positions 30 to 507 of the family's 1533-position model. The record is from RNAcentral.